UAGUCACUCAGGAGAUAAAUCCAAAGGAAGGACGGACACAUGAGGACUCCCAAAGACCAUAGCAUUUGUCACCAAUUUUCAUGUAUUCAGGCGGAAUUUUAAAAAUCAUUAACAUGUUAUUUAUCUUCACAACUAAGUUAUUUUCUCAAGAUUUUUUGUUUUCACUUUUUAAAAUUUAUUUUAUUGUUGGGCAAUUCUUUAACAGCUGAAGUAAGUACCUCCCAAUGUUAGUAUUCAGGCAUCUGUACUGGCCUGUCCUUGGGGUUCUAAGAGGAUACACCCCUAGCUGCAGCCAGUAAGAGCAUCAUCUGUGUACAUUCACUACUUUCCCUUUUUAAAGGGCCCUGCCUACCUCCCAUCUUACUCUAUCUUUCUCUCCCUCUGUGUUUGCUCUCUCUCUCCCCCUCCCUCCUCUCUUUCUCCCCUUCUUUCCUCUUUCCUCUCUCCUGCUGCUCCUGUCUCCAGAGGUUGGUCUCCCUCCUCCCCUUCCCCUUUUUAUGAUCCAUUUCCCUAAUAAAAAGCCUUCUGCUUGAACCCUGUUUAUGGUCUUUCUCUCAUGCUCUGCUUUUCUUAAAUUACAACAUCUACCAGGCUUCACCACAAGCCUGCCUGGAGUGGAAGGAGCAAGUGCAAAUCCAUUUCUGCAGGUUGGAGAGAUGGAUCAGUCAUUAAAGAACAGUCUCACAAAAUCAGAAGACAAAGUGCCAUCCCACUUUUGGCAUGUAACAGUGGAUUCUGAAGGACCUUUGCACUGACUGGUACCACAGAACUGUGCUUCCUCAGACCUGCCACUUGAUCAGCGGAUCCAUCCCUCCACUCAAAGUUGCUCACCCUGAACCCU
RNAcentral lists this long non-coding RNA (841 nucleotides) under Cricetulus griseus (Chinese hamster). RNAcentral describes it as "lncRNA (ENSCGRG00015039038.1)". Lineage: Eukaryota; Metazoa; Chordata; Mammalia; Rodentia; Cricetidae. The record is from RNAcentral.